RNAcentral lists this ribosomal RNA (262 nucleotides) under uncultured bacterium. RNAcentral's name for it is "partial small subunit ribosomal RNA". It matches the Rfam family "Bacterial small subunit ribosomal RNA", at positions 26 to 290 of the family's 1533-position model. The record is from RNAcentral.
AGGACGAACGCUGGCGGCGUGCUUAACACAUGCAAGUCGAGCGGUGAUCCUCCUUCGGGAGGUGAGCAGCGGCGAACGGGUGAGUAACACGUGGGCAACCUGCCCCUCACACUGGGAUAACCUCGGGAAACCGGGGCUAAUACCGGAUAUGACCUCGAGCGGCAUCUCUUGAGGUGGAAAGCUCCGACGGUGAGGGAUGGGCCCGCGGCCUAUCAGCUUGUUGGUGGGGUAAUGGCCUACCAAGGCGACGACGGGUAGCCGG